AGAGACGCUAGGCCGGCACUGCCUAGGUGGGCCGGGCGGUGCGAGGGUCGCCUUUCAGCCUUUACCUCUACCCACUGAAAUGGAGUAGGUCGGUGAGCGCCGAUCUGCUGGAGAAUCUCAUUAUCCCAUCGGCGCUCUGCCUGCUCCUGGCCUCCAAGCCUCUGAAGCCCCUCGGGUUUCAGCUGCCGGCUACCCUCGAGCCCGUGGUGCCCACGAGAGAGGCGACUUUACGUCAGCGGCCCUGGGCUGAGAUUUGAGAACGCGACCAAGUGGAGAAUGUUGGAGCCAGAUUUUAAAAUCCUUGUCUUCCUUCUGCGUGCUACUUGAUCUAAAUGAGAUACGGCAAAGUCACAGAACCUGUUUUUAUGUUUUUGCCUGAUUCAUACGGGCUUCUCCGGUGAAGAUGGGCCUGAAGUAACGCUUGGGUUGCUUCUGACGUUAUAACUCAUCCUGUAGCUGCAGCAACCGUGGUCCUUGCAACCUCAUAAAAAUGUUGCCAGCAUUGUUUCGAUAGUGCUGCUUAAUUCUUGGAAGGCCUCUUUGCUUUCUUCCCUGAGGUUCUUCGGACUUCACACAUUCCAGCAGUAGCUCUCUCAGCUCCUGUCCUGCACAGCUUUGAAGUGCUGGUGAUGUCAUUGAACUCUUAAGUGCAAGAUGAAACAAGUCUUUCUGGGGUUCUAAGUAGGACACAGCCCUGGUGAUGGCUUUCUGAG
This 713-nucleotide long non-coding RNA is filed under the name Homo sapiens (human). RNAcentral describes it as "non-protein coding lnc-BMP6-106:73". The record is from RNAcentral. Lineage: Eukaryota; Metazoa; Chordata; Mammalia; Primates; Hominidae.